Long non-coding RNA from Aethalodelphis obliquidens (Pacific white-sided dolphin), 950 nucleotides. RefSeq lists it as uncharacterized. The transcript has 3 exons. The record is from RefSeq and is a predicted model, not a curated record. NCBI's taxonomy places the organism in Eukaryota, Metazoa, Chordata, Mammalia, Artiodactyla, Delphinidae.
GCAUUGUUUUUCAAAUACAAGUUUCCCGGGAAAGUAAUUUUCAAGGACCACUUCCGGGUUGGAUCGCGUUGGGCUCCUGAGCAACACGGGGCGCUGACUGGCACGUGAUCGCCGUCUCUUGUGCAGUGCCGGAAAGCUUAGAAAAAAAAUUCUGCCAAACCGAGGAAGCCGAUGUUUGGAGGCGGGAGUUCACCAGAAUACGGUUUCUUAUUUCCAUAGAUAAAGCUACCCUUGUGAUGUGACGUUAUAUUGUGAUUCCUGCUCAUAGAAUUUAGAAUAGAACCUCUGAUUUGUUAUAAAUAGGGAAACCCAACAUGGAGUCACAGUGGCCAGUGUGGCACCCAUCUUGAUUGUUUCUAAAGAUCUGAUGUAAGGCUCUUUGCUGCUGGGGUUGUAACUUUUGCACUCUAGGGAUUGUACCUCACAAAAGACAGGGUCUGAGUGCAGUUGCUGGAGAAGGGUCUCGAUGGACCGCAUGCACUACGCUCGCUGGAGACUGCCCGUGUCAGAAGCUGCCGGAGUAGAAGCCCAUCUCUUCUCUUCUCCAUCCUGCACCAUGAGAGGCUCUGCAUGUGUGUGGCCACCCAGCCCCCAAGUGCAAGGGUAGUCACCCGCUCUCCAGUGAGCAGUCACCCCCAAUAGCCCUAAAGGGAGGACACACGCUGGGAAGAGACUGGCUCAGGUAUGGAAACAGGCUUGGGGUGGUAUGGGCAGGGAAUUCCGAGUCCUGGGCACCGUAGUGUGGUGCGGAGGGCUGCAGGAACCCCUCAGCUCCAUUGCCUCUUCACACCUGGUGCAGGGUGCAGUCAGGGCACCGAGCCCAGGGCAGGGACCCCUUUCACCAAGGUCUAAGGGCAUUGUUGCUUAUUAUGCUGUAUACAACCUUGUCGAUCUUGCUAAAUCCAUUAAAAUGAUCUCUGGGGCUUCCCUGGUGGCGCAGUGGUUGGGAG